Molecule: long non-coding RNA, 263 nt
Organism: Leopardus geoffroyi (Geoffroy's cat)
Lineage: Eukaryota; Metazoa; Chordata; Mammalia; Carnivora; Felidae
Exons: 3
Source: RefSeq, a predicted model, not a curated record
AGCUUCCUGAUGCAGAACUUGCAUCGUGACCUGAAGAUAGUCCACCCGUUUGUGGAAGUGUGAACAGGAAAUGGACUGGGAUAUGGAUACCUCAGAUAAGCCUUGGAUUUCAGAGGAGGAUAAAUUCUAAGUGAUGAAAAGGCCCAGGAUAUGCCCUUGGAAAUUAAUGGCUAGAGUGGAGAUGAAGGUUACUGGAGUAUAAGAGAUCAAGAAAUGGAUUGAGAGAGACAGAGCAUGAACGGGGGAGGGGCAGAGAGAGAGGG